This 407-nucleotide ribosomal RNA is filed under the name uncultured bacterium. RNAcentral's name for it is "partial 16S ribosomal RNA". It matches the Rfam family "Bacterial small subunit ribosomal RNA", at positions 30 to 526 of the family's 1533-position model. The record is from RNAcentral.
AUUGAACGCUAGCGGCAUGCCUUACACAUGCAAGUCGAACGGAGUGGCGAACGGGUGAGUAAUGUAACGGAACGUGCCCAGGAGCGGGGGAUAACUACGCGAAAGCGUAGCUAAUACCGCACGCUUUUGGAGCGGCUGAUAUCGGAUUAGCUAGUUGGUGGGGUAACGGCUCACCAAGGCGACGAUCCGUAGCUGGUUUGAGAGGACGACCAGCCACACUGGGACUGAGACACGGCCCAGACUCCUACGGGAGGCAGCAGGGGGGAAUUUUGGACAAUGGGGGAAACCCUGAUUCAGCCAUCCCGCGUGUGAGAUUAAUGCCUUCGGGUUGUAAAGCACUUUUGGCAGGAAAGCGGUACCUGCAGAAUAAGCACCGGCUAACUACGUGCCAGCAGCCGCGGUAAUAC